Molecule: ribosomal RNA, 1367 nt
Filed under: uncultured bacterium
Lineage: Bacteria
Description: bacterial SSU rRNA
Rfam family: Bacterial small subunit ribosomal RNA
Source: RNAcentral
UGGCUCAGGACGAACGCUGGCGGCGCGCCUAACACAUGCAAGUCGAACGAGCGAGAGAGAGCUUGCUUUCUCGAGCGAGUGGCGAACGGGUGAGUAACGCGUGAGGAACCUGCCUCAAAGAGGGGGACAACAGUUGGAAACGACUGCUAAUACCGCAUAAGCCCACGGGUCGGCAUCGACCAGAGGGAAAAGGAGCAAUCCGCUUUGAGAUGGCCUCGCGUCCGAUUAGCUAGUUGGUGAGGUAACGGCCCACCAAGGCGACGAUCGGUAGCCGGACUGAGAGGUUGAACGGCCACAUUGGGACUGAGACACGGCCCAGACUCCUACGGGAGGCAGCAGUGGGGAAUAUUGCACAAUGGGGGAAACCCUGAUGCAGCGACGCCGCGUGGAGGAAGAAGGUCUUCGGAUCGUAAACUUCUAUCAAUAGGGACGAAAAAAAUGACGGUACCUAAAUAAGAAGCCCCGGCUAACUACGUGCCAGCAGCCGCGGUAAUACGUAGGGGGCAAGCGUUAUCCGGAAUUACUGGGUGUAAAGGGAGCGUAGGCGGCAUGGUAAGUAAGAUGUGAAAGCCCGAGGCUUAACCUCGAGGAUUGCAUUUUAAACUAUCAAGCUAGAGUACAGGAGAGGAAAGCGGAAUUCCUAGUGUAGCGGUGAAAUGCGUAGAUAUUAGGAAGAACACCAGUGGCGAAGGCGGCUUUCUGGACUGAAACUGACGCUGAGGCUCGAAAGCGUGGGGAGCAAACAGGAUUAGAUACCCUGGUAGUCCACGCUGUAAACGAUGAGUGCUAGGUGUCGGGGAGGAAUCCUCGGUGCCGCCAGUUAACCCAAUAAGCACUCCACCUGGGGAGUACGACCGCAAGGUUGAAACUCAAAGGAAUUGACGGGGGCCCGCACAAGCGGUGGAGCAUGUGGUUUAAUUUGAAGCAACGCGAAGAACCUUACCAAGGUUUGACAUCCCGCUGACGUAUUCAGAGAUGAGUAUUUUCUUCGGAACAGCGGAGACAGGUGGUGCAUGGUUGUCGUCAGCUCGUGUCGUGAGAUGUUGGGUUAAGUCCCGCAACGAGCGCAACCCUUAUCAUUAGUAGCCAGCAUUUAAGGUGGGCACUCUAAUGAGACUGCCGUGGAUAACACGGAGGAAGGUGGGGAUGACGUCAAAUCAUCAUGCCCCUUAUAUCUUGGGCUACACACGUGCUACAAUGGCCGGUACAAAGAGAAGCGAGACCGCGAGGUGGAGCAAAACUCAUAAAACCGGUCCCAGUUCGGAUUGUAGUCUGCAACUCGACUACAUGAAGCUGGAAUCGCUAGUAAUCGCAAAUCAGAAUGUUGCGGUGAAUACGUACCCGGGCCUUGCACUCACCGCCCGUCA